Molecule: non-coding RNA, 2866 nt
Organism: Myodes glareolus (Bank vole)
Lineage: Eukaryota; Metazoa; Chordata; Mammalia; Rodentia; Cricetidae
Source: RefSeq, a predicted model, not a curated record
AGAAUCCGAGCUCGAACAGACUGUGCUCUCCACCUCGUGUCACUCAGCUCCAGUUGUUACUUUCAGGAUCUGUAACCAUGCUCUGCACUCAGUUCUCUCUGCAAAUGACCACUCCUUGCUUUCCACGGCUGUGGAGCUCGGGACAGAGGAGUAGCUUCAACACCAGAGUGGUGGGAACACAGGACAUCUGGUCAUUGUCCUACGGUAUUGUGCCGCUGAGACUCUUGUCUACGGGUCUGGAAUAAGAGUCCUUUUCCUGGCUUUCUUGGUCAUUAGCACUUACGGAGAAUAGAAAUGUAUGAAGAGGAAUCCACUGUCAUUAAGGAUUGAAUAGAAAAUGAAAACCUUGAUGAUCAUGCGGGCCAGUACCCCUCCAGCUAAUGCUCAUUUACUUGAAAAUAAUCACUAUCAAUGGCCCAACACAGAGCUCACUGAAAAUACUCCGUCCACAUAACAAAUGUGUACAUUCAACUGUGCAAGCGGGACUCAACAGAUCGAGUAGCAAAAGGAGUUUGGAGAAGAGGACUUAGCCACUCGCAUUUUAGAAUUAUCAGCUUGUAGACUCGUAAUGUUGCUGAGAUGGUUAAAGAAGAGGGACAAGAGAUUCAGAAGGGAAGAAGAUGGAAAAACAGCUCACUUGGUAUGUUUUUAUUGAUGAAACAAGAUGUACUUUAACUCUGACCUUAAGUUGACUUUGGCUUUUCAAAUAUACAAAGCAAAAGGCAGAAGUAUCUGAUAAAGUGACGUGUGGAUUUUGUCACAAUGUGGCAUGAGGCGACGCUGCUGAGACUAGUGACGUUCAGCAAAGACCACUGACCGAGUAGAUGCAGACCGAGUUAAUUCAUCUUGUUAUACAAUUGACCUAGCACCACGCUAUGCACAUCCUUGGAUGGUACUCUGCAUCUGCUCAAAGUUAAAUUGUAAUCGCGCUCUCAUACACUGUUUUGACACAGCAGGUGACAUGAUGUAUGAGAAGAGCCAGCCUCCUGAUAAUGAUCAGCCCACCACCUACUAAUAACUGUCAAUUAGAACUCUCAAAAGGCUAGCACAAGGCUGACCAGCCACAGGGCUUUACCCACACAUAAAACAGACACUUAUCACACAGGGCUUGUGCACAGAAGAACAAAGAUCAAAUCAAGACAGAAAUCCUUGCCAUAAAUGGACAUUGUUGCCAAACAAACAGCUUUGAUCCAUACCUCUCAGACUGUUUCUGAUUACUUCAUACUCUCUCCGGUUGCCUGCUCUAUUCCUUUAUUUCAAGCACUGUCAAAAAGAAGCCAUUGAUCACAUCAGCUUCCUCCCACCAGUCCUGACGUUCAGAGUCUUCAACCUCACUGUCUCAUCAGCCACAAACUUCAUGGCCCGUUAAGUUCUGAGAGUCUUCAUGAUAGCAUCUUUUCCACAGAGAAUUUCACUCAGUCAAGAUGCCUCAGACACAUCUUCCCAGCCUGAUAAGACACUGGGACAUCUCCCAGGAAGCGGGGGUUACUGUCCAAACUUAAAAUAUAUACCUGAGUGGAUCAGGUCCACAAAAUUGUCAUACUGAAUUUGGCUCUUCAUUAAUAUCCUAAUUAAAUCAUCUUAAGCAAUUUUUAUGUUCUUGUUAACAAAUACUAACCAGGCAAGGUUAAGUUCAACUGCCUCUAACCACACCCAUGUUCAAGAAGGAGAGUGAACACACACUAAAACCAGCUUAGACCAUCACAGUUUAGGAGUUUCUAAGCCUUAAUUUACAAGACUGGGUAUUAUUCAAAUGACUAACUUCUAGGGUUUUUUUUUUUUCCCCUCAUCUCUUCAACCACAGCAUUUUCUACUGGCUCAGUAACUCUGUGCCACUUGAAAUAUCCUAGGAAAUGUAGGAACAUAGGCACGCUUGUGCCCGUUGCUUCGUGUGUGUGUGUGUGUGUGUGUGUGUGUGUGUGUGUGUGUUCCCUCUGAAACCAGAGCCUGUCCCUAUUAGAAGGAGAGCCUGCUGCAGCUGCAGUCACAAGGUGCCCACAAGGGACGAGGCAAGUGUGGGAGUGCACACUAUGGCUCAGGGACUAGAAUAACAUAUGUGCAAAAAACCUGAACAUCAUUAACAGCCUAAGAUCAGCUCAAAUUUUAUGCUGAAAAUAUUAUACACAUCAUUCUUAGAAAAGUAAAGUUAAUAUCUUUUCUCAUCUCUAUUGAGAAAAUCCAUGCUUCUCUUGUUCUUUAGUAUACUUCAGUUCUAGCUCAUAAAACACAAUGGAUACUGCAUAAAUGAUUACUAAAUAAUUAAUGAGUCCCUUGGGACUUACUACAUGUCCCACCUUAUUUCCAGUACCCCACACAUAUUACUUGAGAAGUUAUUACCUGAUUUUAUCACUUCAUUAAGGAAAAAUUCGUUUAAGAAGUCAUAUAAAGCAGAUAAAUUUGUUUAAUAAUAUUAAAAAUAUAAAAUUUCUUAUGUGAAAAUCAUUAGAAUAAAUGUAUUAUUUGGGGACAGUGUAUGUUAAACUAAAAAUUCUCUGAGAAUUUUCAUUACUUAGAAACUCAGAAAAUACUCUGAGGCACCAUUAGCUGUUACUCUAAGCCUGCUAUCUUGACUCUAAUUUCUCCACACGAGGAUGACUAAAGGCCUACCUAUCCUUCAUUAAUUCCAUGCCCAGAUUACAUACAGAUGCUAAGAGAUAUCAAUUGUGGGCUGUCUCUCUUGUCUUUGGAGGGCACCUUUCCAGUGUCUAAGAAGGUGCCUAUGAAUGCUAACCUACAUUAACAAAACAACAGGAACAGCAGCCAAAGAUAAAAUCUUGGAGUCAACCAGGAAAUGAAACUUUUAUUUACGUAAUUAAGCCUACUUUGUACCAAAAACUUUUGAAUAAAUUUCAACAUAGAACAGAAA